RNAcentral lists this ribosomal RNA (505 nucleotides) under uncultured bacterium. RNAcentral describes it as "partial 16S ribosomal RNA". It matches the Rfam family "Bacterial small subunit ribosomal RNA", at positions 29 to 523 of the family's 1533-position model. The record is from RNAcentral.
AUUGAACGCUGGCGGCAGGCCUAACACAUGCAAGUCGAACGGCAGCACAGGAGAGCUUGCUCUCUGGGUGGCGAGUGGCGGACGGGUGAGGAAUACAUCGGAAUCUACCUUGUCGUGGGGGAUAACGUAGGGAAACUUACGCUAAUACCGCAUACGACCUACGGGUGAAAGCAGGGGACCUUCGGGCCUUGCGCGAUUGGAUGAGCCGAUGUCGGAUUAGCUAGUUGGCGGGGUAAAGGCCCACCAAGGCGACGAUCCGUAGCUGGUCUGAGAGGAUGAGCAGCCACACUGGAACUGAGACACGGUCCAGACUCCUACGGGAGGCAGCAGUGGGGAAUAUUGGACAAUGGGCGCAAGCCUGAUCCAGCCAUGCCGCGUGGGUGAAGAAGGCCUUCGGGUUGUAAAGCCCUUUGUUGGGAAAGAGAAGCAGCCGGCCAAUACCCGGUUGUUCUGACGGUACCCAAAGAAUAAGCACCGGCUAACUUCGUGCCAGCCGCCGCGGUAA